RNAcentral lists this ribosomal RNA (253 nucleotides) under uncultured bacterium. Its description in RNAcentral is "partial 16S ribosomal RNA". It matches the Rfam family "Bacterial small subunit ribosomal RNA", at positions 524 to 776 of the family's 1533-position model. The record is from RNAcentral.
UACGGAGGGGACUAGCGUUGUUCGGAAUUACUGGGCGUAAAGCGCACGUAGGCGGAUUUGUAAGUCAGGGGUGAAAUCCCGGGGCUCAACCUCGGAACUGCCUUUGAUACUGCAAAUCUCGAGUCCGUAAGAGGUGAGUGGAAUUCCUAGUGUAGAGGUGAAAUUCGUAGAUAUUAGGAAGAACACCAGUGGCGAAGGCGGCUCACUGGUCCGGUACUGACGCUGAGGUGCGAAAGCGUGGGGAGCAAACAGG